Molecule: ribosomal RNA, 505 nt
Filed under: uncultured bacterium
Lineage: Bacteria
Description: bacterial SSU rRNA
Rfam family: Bacterial small subunit ribosomal RNA
Source: RNAcentral
CAGGAUGAACGCUAGCUACAGGCUUAACACAUGCAAGUCGAGGGGCAGCAUUGGGAUAGCUUGCUAUUUCAGAUGGCGACCGGCGCACGGGUGAGUAACGCGUAUCCAACCUUCCUGCCAGUAGGGAACAGCCCGGCGAAAGUCGGAUUAAUGCCCUAUGUUCUUCAAUGCGGACAUCUAAGUUGAAGGAAAGAUUCAUCGCUGGCAGAUGGGGAUGCGUCCGAUUAGCUUGCCGGCGGGGUAACGGCCCACCGGGGCGACGAUCGGUAGGGGUUCUGAGAGGAAGGUCCCCCACACUGGUACUGAGACACGGACCAGACUCCUACGGGAGGCAGCAGUGAGGAAUAUUGGUCAAUGGGCGUAAGCCUGAACCAGCCAAGUAGCGUGCAAGGACGACGGCCCUACGGGUUGUAAACUGCUUUUAUGCGGGGAUAAAGUGCGGCACGUGUGCCGCUUUGCAGGUACCGCAUGAAUAAGGACCGGCUAAUUCCGUGCCAGCAGCGGC